CGGAGGGGGCGAGCGUUAUUCGGAAUUAUUGGGCGUAAAGGGCGCGUAGGCGGCUUGAUAAGUCAAAGGUGAAAUCCCUCGGCUCAACUGAGGAACUGCCUUUGAAACUAUCUGGCUUGAGGCCGGGAGGGGGUGGCGGAAUUCCCAGUGUAGCGGUGAAAUGCGUAGAUAUUGGGAGGAACACCAGUGGCGAAGGCGGCCACCUGGACCGGUUCUGACGCUGAUGCGCGAAAGCGUGGGUAGCAAACAGGAUUAGAUACCCUGGUAGUCCACGCUGUAAACGAUGGGUGCUCGGUGUCGCGGGUAUCGACCCCUGCGGUGCCUUAGCUAACGCGUUAAGCACCCCGCCUGGGGAGUACGGUCGCAAGGCUG
Molecule: ribosomal RNA, 372 nt
Filed under: uncultured organism
Description: bacterial SSU rRNA
Rfam family: Bacterial small subunit ribosomal RNA
Source: RNAcentral